RNAcentral lists this long non-coding RNA (2700 nucleotides) under Pan troglodytes (chimpanzee). RNAcentral's name for it is "lincRNA". The stretch from base 674 to 757 matches the Rfam family "mir-143 microRNA precursor family". Lineage: Eukaryota; Metazoa; Chordata; Mammalia; Primates; Hominidae. The record is from RNAcentral.
GGCCAGGGAGCCGCAGGCAAGGGACUAAGGGGAGGGGGGCUCAGUGCCAGCUGCUUAAAAAUGCCCCUGUGGCAGCGAGGGGCACCAGAGGCUGGGUCUAAUUAGUUGAGAAGCAGUGACACCCCCAACCACUCCCCAAACAGGCUGGCUCCCGUCUCCAGGCCCCAAGGAGCCACACCUGGACCAGACCCCAGGAAAGGCAAGGGCACUAGCUGGUGGGAGCCACCCCGCCAUGCUGAUGUCAGAGAAGCAAGAACUCUGGAGAAGCAGCCUCCUGGGACCAGAGGAGGGCCAGCAGCAGGCAGCCCGGAGACAGAACUCUCACCCACGCCUCUCCAAGCCUCCCGACAGAAGACAGAGGUCCCCCACAGCCAGAGACAUUUCCUGAAGACAUGGGGAACACAGAGGCAGAAACAGCCCAUCCACCCAGGAGCUGUCCCCCACACUGCCGGGAGCCGGCACCCAGAGCCGCCAGGUAAAACUGAGGCCACCUGGUUCAACAUCGCCUUUCAUAGAAGGGGAAGCAGCCACAGAAAGAAGGGCCUGGUAAGAAGUGGAACCUGGGACCCCCAAGCGGUGUCUCUCAUCCUGACUGGGGAUCCAGAGUAGGAGGGAGCCUUUGGUGGGGUUGGAGUCCCGCCACAGGCCACCAGAGCGGAGCAGCGCAGCGCCCUGUCUCCCAGCCUGAGGUGCAGUGCUGCAUCUCUGGUCAGUUGGGAGUCUGAGAUGAAGCACUGUAGCUCAGGAAGAGAGAAGUUUUUCUGCAGCCAUCAGCCUGGAAGUGGCUGGAUGUGGGAACUUCAGCACUGCCGUACUCUUGGGAAAUUUGUCCAAGGCCACCCGGCUGAGCAGCGGUUGAACCAGGACACCAUCAGGCAUGCGUUUCUUGUCUCCACCACACCCUCAACCCACUUCCCAACGCGCCUUGCGACAGGGGCUGCGGUAUUGCAUCCACAUGACUGAUAAACUAGUAAACACACAUGAAUUCAUUUUAAAAGUGUAUUCAAUCAGUUAGGUAAACUAAAAACCUCAAGUCUUCGUUCGAUUUGGAAUGCAGCCAGAGAACAAAUGGAAAAUUUUUCAAGGUAGAGAAGAUGAAAACUCAGAACGCCCUCUUGUGGCAUCUCUACCCACCCCAGGAACACUAUGGCUCUUCCCCUACACACGGUGAUUGCUAACCUUGCUACAAGACGUUGGACACACACACACACACACACACACACACACUGAGGUUCCUUUUGCUCCCUCACUUUUGAGCCAGUGACUACUGAAACCCUCUCCAUUGUUGCACCACCAGCAAUGCCCCCAUCACUUCCUCUCGUUUACUUCCACAGGCUGGUUCAUCCUCAAAGCCCUCCUUACGUAGAUCUGUGGGAUCAGUGAGGCUCAGAGAGGUAAAGUGGCCAGCCCAAGGUCGCCCAGACAGCAAAAGGCAGGGCCAGCGCUGAUUUCAAGUCCAAUGGCCUAUGGCAAUUUCUUAGCCAAAAGCAAAAUCUACAAAAAUAAAAAGGCAGGCACAGUGGUGAGUGCCCACAGUCCCAGCUACUGAGGAGGCCGACGGGGGAGGACCACUUGAGCUUGGGAGUUCCCGGCUGCAGAGAGCUAUGAUUGUGCCUGUGAAUAGCCAAUGCACUCCAGCCUGAGCAAGAUAGGGAGACCCUGUCUCUAAAAAAUACCUAAAUAAUUUUAAAAGUCAGCCUCUCUGACUGCCUAUAGAGAAUGCUAACUGACUGAAUGACAAAAGACCUAAUGUAAUCCAGGUGCAAAAUCAGAACUUUCCGGCCGGGCGCGGUGGCUCACGCCUGUAAUCCCAACACUUUGGGAGGCCCAGGCGGGUGGAUCACGAGGUCAGGAGUUCAAGACCGGCCUGCCCAACAUGGCAAAACCCCGUCUCUACUAAAAAUACAAAAAAUUAACUGGGCGUGGUGGUGGGCACCUAUAAUCUCAGCUACUCAGGAGGCUGAGGCAGGAGAAUUGCUUGGACCCGGGAGGCAGAGGUUGCAGUGAGCUGAGAUCGCGCCACUGCACUCCAGCGUGGGCGACAAAAGUGAAACUCUGUCUCAAAAAAAAAAAAAAAUAGAACUUUCCCUGUACUCUUGCUAGGGCUUUUCAUGGAGUUGUAGAAACGGUAGUAAGUGCCAAGGCCCCAGAACCCGAAUGUUUGGGUCCGACUCCCACAUUGCCAGAGACUAGGCAGCUCACACAGGUGUCCCAAGCUGUCUUUCUCACAGGCCGCAUUGAAGGCGUUUAUGAAAUGAGACCCCCUCUUCCUCAUCCGUAGUGACAGGGCUGGCCUGACCGUGGAGAAAUCAGAUUUGAUCAUGAUAGCUUCCACUCCGUGACUGGUCACGACCUGCCAGGCGCUGUGCUAAACACUUUCAUAGGCCUUGUCCCCCUCCAUCCUGAUAACACCCCAGUGAAGCAGGCCCUGCUCUUCACUCCACUCCACAAAGCCAAGGCUGAGAGAGGUUAACAGACUUACCUAAGGUCACACAGCUAAGAAGUCGUGAAGCUGGGAUCGAAUCAAGUCUGUGUUUAUGGGUUUAACUAUCAUGUUGUGGCCCCAACCCCAUUUGGCCUAGCCUGGCUGGUGGGCCUUCUUGCAGUAGCUUCCCCUGGAGAAGAGGAAAAGCAAACCUUCAUUGAGACCCAAGCGGUCUCUCCUGUGCUCUGUGACAAUAAUAAAGUUCUGGCCCUUGG